CGCCGCCGCCAGGAGCCUCCAUCGCCGGCCGCCGCAGCUCCAUCGCCCGACCCCGUCGCCGCCUCCAUCGCCGGCCGCAGCUUCUGCCUCCACGCUCUCCCCUCUCCUUUCCACCUGCUCUGCUGGCCGGGCGCGUCCACCGCCGGCCGCCGCUGCUCCGUCGCCGGCCCCGCCGCCGUCCGGCGCCUCCACCUCCAUUGCCGACCGCAGCUAAUCGCCUCCCCGCUCUCCCUCCCCCUCUCGACCUGCUAACUGAACGUACUAGGUUGGUCGCUUGAUUCCAGUCGGCGACCUGCUAGAAGAGUGAAGGUGCCAGGAGGAGGAGGAAGAAGAAGAUGCCUUGCCUCAACGUGUCCACGAACGUGAACCUGGAUGGGGUUGACACCUCCGCCGUCCUCGCCGACGCCUCCAAGACCGUCGCCACCAUCAUCGGCAAGCCUGAGGCCUAUGUAAUGGUUAUUCUUAAGGGUUCAGUGCCUAUGGCAUUUGGAGGUACACAGGAGCCUGCGGCUUAUGGUGAGCUGGUUUCCAUUGGAGGGCUGAACCCUGAUGUCAACAAGAAGCUGAGUGCUGGCAUUGCCUCUAUCCUGGAGUCAAAGCUGUCCAUUCCCAUGUCCCGUUUCUACCUCAAGUUCUACGAUUCCAAGGCCCAUCCUGCACAAGAACAUGCUCAAUGUUUGCAUGCUUUGCAUCAAGAAUAGAUCAGUGUAAAUGGCCAUCUGUUUUCUGUUGAAUAACAUCAUAUUGACUUUUGCAGUUAGCGCUCGGACUUCGGAUGGAAGGGCACCACCUUUUAGGUUAGGUCGUAUGCGUUGAAGGUGCGUGAAGCCUAAAAAUUGGUAGUAUCUUGUUCAUUGCCUGUCUGAGGACAAUGUUGUCACAUGUAUCAGUCUAAUGGCUGCAAGUCUUGAUGUGAACAUGGAAAUAUGCAGUGAAUGAAACUUGGCAUGCUUUAGAGCAA
Oryza brachyantha (malo sina) is the source of this 961-nucleotide RNA transcript. It is a transcript of the gene named macrophage migration inhibitory factor homolog, with no coding region annotated. The record is from RefSeq and is a predicted model, not a curated record. The transcript has 5 exons. NCBI's taxonomy places the organism in Eukaryota, Viridiplantae, Streptophyta, Magnoliopsida, Poales, Poaceae.